Molecule: unclassified non-coding RNA, 251 nt
Filed under: Tremella anaptychiae
Lineage: Eukaryota; Fungi; Basidiomycota; Tremellomycetes; Tremellales; Tremellaceae
Description: partial contains 5.8S ribosomal RNA, internal transcribed spacer 2, and large subunit ribosomal RNA
Source: RNAcentral
CGCACCUUGCACCCUCUGGAGUUCCGGAGGGUAUGCCUGUCUGAGUGUCUUGUAGACUCAAUCCCCCGGGUUUCCGGGCGAUUGGAUGUGGACGCUGCCUCCGUGGCUCGUCUUAAAUGUGUUAGCGGCACGAGCGCCCGCCUGACGAAUCAAGUUCCGUCGGACGAAGCGUCACCGACCGCUCAUAACCCGCCCUCGGGCAACCUUUUGACUCUGACCUCAGAUCAGGUAGGACUACCCGCUGAACUUAA